RNAcentral lists this ribosomal RNA (254 nucleotides) under uncultured bacterium. RNAcentral's name for it is "partial 16S ribosomal RNA". It matches the Rfam family "Bacterial small subunit ribosomal RNA", at positions 524 to 776 of the family's 1533-position model. The record is from RNAcentral.
UACGGGGGGAGCAAGCGUUGUUCGGAUUUACUGGGCGUAAAGGGCGCGUAGGCGGUCAGCACAAAUCAGUUGUGAAAUCUCCGGGCUUAACUCGGAAAGGUCAACUGAUACUGUGCGACUAGAGUGCGGAAGGGGCAACUGGAAUUCUUGGUGUAGCGGUGAAAUGCGUAGAUAUCAAGAGGAACACCUGCGGCGAAGGCGGGUUGCUGGGCCGACACUGACGCUGAGGCGCGAAAGCCAGGGGAGCGAACGGG